UUUAUCGGAGAGUUUGAUCCUGGCUCAGGACGAACGCUGGCGGCGUGCCUAAUACAUGCAAGUCGAGCGGAUUGAUGGGAGCUUGCUCCCUGAUAUCAGCGGCGGACGGGUGAGUAACACGUGGGUAACCUGCCUGUAAGACUGGGAUAACUCCGGGAAACCGGGGCUAAUACCGGAUAACUCAUUUCCUCGCAUGAGGAAAUGUUGAAAGGUGGCUUUUAGCUACCACUUACAGAUGGACCCGCGGCGCAUUAGCUAGUUGGUGAGGUAACGGCUCACCAAGGCAACGAUGCGUAGCCGACCUGAGAGGGUGAUCGGCCACACUGGGACUGAGACACGGCCCAGACUCCUACGGGAGGCAGCAGUAGGGAAUCUUCCGCA
This 381-nucleotide ribosomal RNA is filed under the name Bacillus sp. DSM 27956. RNAcentral's name for it is "bacterial SSU rRNA". It matches the Rfam family "Bacterial small subunit ribosomal RNA", at positions 1 to 370 of the family's 1533-position model. The record is from RNAcentral. Lineage: Bacteria; Bacillati; Bacillota; Bacilli; Caryophanales; Bacillaceae.